This is a long non-coding RNA of Cottoperca gobio, 2308 nucleotides long. RefSeq lists it as uncharacterized. The transcript is spliced from 2 exons. NCBI's taxonomy places the organism in Eukaryota, Metazoa, Chordata, Actinopteri, Perciformes, Bovichtidae. The record is from RefSeq and is a predicted model, not a curated record.
AUUACUUUCAUUUGCAAAUGUGUCACAAUCUCCUACAGAGGAUUUACAAGAGUUUGUAAUAAAUAUCUAAAGGUCCAUUUUAAUUUGCCCUCCUGACCCACUGAUGGGCUGAAAAAUGAACACAAACAAGAACUAAGAUGUUUUUGGGGAGUUUGGCUCAAAAGCCGUUUCAGAGAGUCUCAAGGAAACAAAUCAGCAAUUAAAAUCCAAAGAAGUCCAGAUAGGUUUUGUUGGUGUGCAGGAAACCAGGUGAUGAUAGUCUGCUGCAGUUAGUGAUUGAAAACUAAUACUGAAUAUUCUCUAUUAGUUAGCGAGGCGUUUAGCCUUUAUAGUCUCAGGUGUUCGGAUGGAGAAAAGUCUUAAAAUCAAUGUUUUUGAUGCAAACGUGUAUGAGAGUAUAACCGUUUUAGAUGCAUUUUGUCGGUGUUGUGUAGGUCGAUAAUAGGUUUGUACAGGUUUAGAAAACGAUUGAAGACGGUGUAUGUUUUUUUUUUUUUUUUUUUUUUUAAACUUUUCCAGUCAAGGGUUUAAGUAAGAAAGGUUCACCAGAUGCCUGUAGACUAAUGCUCACGAAACCACCAGACACACACUCUUACUGGCAUGUUUUCUAAAAGCAUUCAGUGUUUUGUUCUUAUGGGUGAAUUAAAGCACAGUUGCUUUUUUGCUUUACCCAGUCUUAUUAGUGUAGAUCAGUGAUGUUCAGGAGGAGUGAUGUGGAAGUGAUGGACACAUGGUAGAAAUUCAACGAGCUGUUAUUGUUCAGUGCACUUCAGAUGAGUUCAGAAAGUUAAUGUUCAUGCCUUAAAUCAAUGAACUCUACCAGGUAAAGGGAGGAUAUCUUAUCUUGGCCCCGCAAGGAUAAAUUCCUUCUUGUUUUUCUGCUAUGGUCACAUCAGGCUCAGUCUUCUCUUACUACUACUACAUGAAUUGGUUCUUUUAGAAACCACAUUGAUUUUCAGCCUGAAAUAAGCAGCAAUAACAAAGACGUUUUCACAUCAUGCACUCAUGAGUAUGAGAUGAGACACUGUCCCGCUACGUGUCGUGUAUCGUAGUCAGAAAUGUUUGCGUCAAACUUAUGUUCUCGUUCUAAGUUAUUCCUAAAGUAUUGGGAUUUGGGUGCAUGUGUGUUGAAAAUACAAGUUGUUUUGUUGAAUUUCAUAUUUAUUUUGUAAAAAAAAGUACAAAGUGUUUCAUUCAUUUUCUGUCAGGAAGCGACUACUUUGUAAAUCCAAGCAUAUCAUGCAUUGAUAAAUGUGUCCUCUGGUUGCGAAAAAGAAGGGUUUUGUUUGUAAAUUAGCAUCUCAACAGUAGCACAUUUAUACUUUAUGAUGUUUUCGUUCCCCUCAUAGAGACGAUAUUUCCCUGUCUGAACUGUUGUUGUACAUGUGUUGUAGCCUUUGGGUACCGCAAACUGUCGUGAAAACUACAGUCAUCGUUUAUUUUCUUUUUAUCUUCAGGUCUGUAGGAACCAUAACCUCCAGUGUAUAAUUUCAACAGCUUCUGGAAACUGACAGCAGAGUUACAAGCCACUAAAAUGUUAGGCACCUUUUGUAACCCCUAGAAUGUAUGUUCUUGUUUUUGUCAGGUUAAACGUACAUUAGCAUCUGAUCUGAGCACAUUGUUGUUGAAAGUCAGCAUUUCUUUUUGUCCACCUGUCAUGUUUUGGUUCUCUGCAGGUCACAGUGCAUUGUUGAGGUAAAAUCUUUAAUUAUUAAUGAAUAUUCAAAUCAGGAUUUUGUUUUGUGUGUGCGGCCGUGGUGAAAGAAUGCAAUGUUUUCAGGGUUUUUUGUGGAGUUUUGUUUUAAAAAAAAAAAAGAAGUUCAAGUUAAGAUUUGCACCAGGGUCGAAAUCAAAUCACCUUCAGGUACAACGCAUGUAAAACCUUCAGAAGUAACGGGUCAUGGCUGUGUUGAAUUCAUCAUGAAAUAUAUGCCAUUUGAUCCAAGAUAUACAGCACUACACAUAUCUAAAAGCUGUUCAUUUUUAUUCAAAGGGGACUUUUCAUGUGAGAAGUCACUGUUGAACGCUAAAAGGUUUACAGAUGCUGACAAAUGAUAUAAAAUUGAUGUAGGCUAACAGAAUGAAAGUGAAUUGACUCCAACCCUGAUACAGUCGCUGUCCAAAGUGCUUUUAAGGGAAACUGUAGCUUAUCCAGCAACUUAACAAUCAAUUGUUUUUGUUUUUUUGUUGCUACAUACUGUGUUAAAAAAAUACAGAUUUGUACUUGUGAAAUAUUAAUGGGCCCCAAUAUUCUCUUUUGUAUCAAAUUUUCUUUGACAAAAAUAAAAAAAUUACUAUUUUGAUUUGA